GACAGAGGCCUCGAGCGUUAGGCGGAAUCACUGGGCUUAAAGCGUGUGUAGGCGGAUCGUUAAGUACCUUGUGAAAUCCCACGGCUCAACCGUGGAACGGCUGGGUAUACUGGCGGUCUUGGGCCAUUCAGGGGCGACUGGAACAAGCGGUGGAGCGGUGAAAUGCGUAGAGAUGUGGAGGAACACCAGUGGCGAAGGCGACUCUUUGGCCUGUAACUGACGCUGAGGCGCGAAAGCGUGGGGAGCAAACAGG
This 253-nucleotide ribosomal RNA is filed under the name uncultured bacterium. Its description in RNAcentral is "partial 16S ribosomal RNA". It matches the Rfam family "Bacterial small subunit ribosomal RNA", at positions 524 to 776 of the family's 1533-position model. The record is from RNAcentral.